AUGAAACCUUCGGGAGAGUUCUUUUUGGAACGGAAGCAAUCUAGGAGACUUGGAGUAGACAUCAGGGAAGCUUCGAGGUGGCCACGAGGUAGGGAGGCACGCCUGCCCCCCCGGGCGCGCCCCCACCCUCGUGGCUCCCCUAACCAACUUCUUUCGCCUAUAUAUAUAUAUCAAUAUACCCUAAAAACAUCGAAGAGAAGAAUAGAUCGGGAGUUCACCGCCAGAAGCUCCGUAGCCACCGAAAACCAAUCUAGACCCGUUCCGGCACCCUGCCGGAGGGGGGAUCCCUCUCCGGUGGCCAUCUUCAUCAUCCCGGCGCUCUCCAUGACGAGGAGGGAGUAG
Molecule: ribosomal RNA, 342 nt
Filed under: Triticum aestivum (bread wheat)
Lineage: Eukaryota; Viridiplantae; Streptophyta; Magnoliopsida; Poales; Poaceae
Description: partial small subunit ribosomal RNA
Source: RNAcentral